CCUACGGGAGGCAGCAGUGAGGAAUAUUGGUCAAUGGCCGUAAGGCUGAACCAGCCAAGUAGCGUGAGGGAAGACUGCCCUAUGGGUUGUAAACCUCUUUUAUGCGGGGAUAAAGGUGUCCACGUGUGGAUGUUUGCAGGUACCGCAUGAAUAAGGACCGGCUAAUUCCGUGCCAGCAGCCGCGGUAAUACGGAGGAUCCGAGCGUUAUCCGGAUUUAUUGGGUUUAAAGGGUGCGUAGGCGGCCUUUUAAGUCAGCGGUGAAAGUCUGUGGCUCAACCAUAGAAUUGCCGUUGAAACUGGGGGGCUUGAGUAUGUUUGAGGCAGGCGGAAUUCGUGGUGUAGCGGUGAAAUGCUUAGAUAUCACGAAGAACCCCGAUUGCGAAGGCAGCUUACUAAACUGUGACUGACAUUGAUGCUCGAAAGUGUGGGUAUCAAACAGGAUUAGAUACCCUUGUAGUC
This 460-nucleotide ribosomal RNA is filed under the name uncultured bacterium. Its description in RNAcentral is "partial 16S ribosomal RNA". It matches the Rfam family "Bacterial small subunit ribosomal RNA", at positions 338 to 795 of the family's 1533-position model. The record is from RNAcentral.